ACCGGUAACGCCCAGAGAUGGGUUGCCCCUUUGUGGUCGGUGGACAGGUGGUGCAUGGUUGUCGUCAGCUCGUGUCGUGAGAUGUUGGGUUAAAGUCCCGCAACGAGCGCAACCCUCGUCCUAUGUUGCCAGCGGGUCAUGCCGGGGACUCAUGGGAGACUGCCGGGGUCAACUCGGAGGAAGGUGGGAUGACGUCAAAUCAUCAUGCCCCUUAUGUCUUGGGCUUCACGCAUGCUACAAUGGCCGGUACAAAGGGCUGCGAUACCGCGAGGUGGAGCGAAUCCCAGAAAGCCGGUCUCAGUUCGGAUUGGGGUCUGCAACUCGACCCCAUGAAGUCGGAGUCGCUAGUAAUCGCAGAUCAGCAACGCUGCGGUGAAUACGUUCCCGGGCCUU
This 393-nucleotide ribosomal RNA is filed under the name uncultured Cellulomonas sp. RNAcentral describes it as "bacterial SSU rRNA". It matches the Rfam family "Bacterial small subunit ribosomal RNA", at positions 989 to 1382 of the family's 1533-position model. Lineage: Bacteria; Bacillati; Actinomycetota; Actinomycetes; Micrococcales; Cellulomonadaceae. The record is from RNAcentral.